CCCAGUUACUGAUGCUGGGCAUCUUCAGGAGUGGGAGCUUUCCCCGCAGUGCUAGCGGCAAAGGCAGGCGGUAGCCACAUUGGAGGCCGCUGCUGCUUUGCCCAAGAGAACAAGGCAGCUCUUUACCAGGCCGGCAAUGUAAAAGGGGCCAUGAAAGACAAAUGAAGGUCCAGUGCUCUUACCAGAACGAGCAGGAAAAGCAGGUCCAUUGUUCUAUUAGUUCGACAAGUUGACAUUUCCUUUGGUGGUCCUUAAAAACUAUCAGUUACUUGUUAAGGCUUCAAUGAAACAAAAUGAAAAAAGAAAACAUGAAAAAAAAUCAUUGUUUUGUAUCUCUGCACUGAGACAUUUCAGAUUUAAGUUUUAUUUGUGAAAACGCUCACAUAUUAUCAGCAGGCUAUAAAACGAUUAAAAUUGAAAGAAAAGCAUAAAAAAAGUAAGAUUGUGCCUUUUAAACGUCAAUGUUUUGAUGUUGUUAGCUGGGGAGGCACCGGCCUGAAAUGGGAGACUGGCGAUUAUUUUAAGCUUGUGACAGCUGCAGAGAACAGUUGCCCUGACUCAAGUCCAUGGAAUGUGCCCUUUGAUGGAAACGACAGGCGACACUCAGGCAAUUUCAAUAUUUUCUCAAAAAGAAAAGUUAGUAAUAACUUAAUGAUAUCUUUUUAAAAACUAAAAUUACCACCCCAUUAAUCAUUCGCCGGCGAAACAAAAGUGCUCCAACAUGGAUCGUACCUGGAUAUGAACCUUAUCUCCUCGAAUAAGCCGUCACCAAAAACUUCUCCAGCUCCAGACGCGACUGAAAGAGAUUGUGACACCAGGGUCCUCGCCUGGAAUGUGCAAAUAAACUGGUGCCUGAGAGACAAGUGACAGAGCAAUACUUACAGCAAGCAAAAAAAAACUUUAUAUUUCGUUGUUUUGUCUUUUAUUUUGACCCUAGUGUACUUUGCUAAUAAAUAAUGAACACUGA
Long non-coding RNA from Carcharodon carcharias (great white shark), 967 nucleotides. RefSeq lists it as uncharacterized. The record is from RefSeq and is a predicted model, not a curated record. NCBI's taxonomy places the organism in Eukaryota, Metazoa, Chordata, Chondrichthyes, Lamniformes, Lamnidae. The transcript is spliced from 2 exons.